GGAGGAGGCAGCCAGAGUGGCCACCACUGUUCUCUGCAGCAGAAGACCCCUUGCUGACCUGCCCAACCCAGCCCAGCAUUUGCCAGCUACAUCUACAUCUAUGUUUGAGGAACAUAUUGGUGAAGAACGGGACAAGUACAUGUGUGGAUUGCUAACUGGUUGAAGGACAGGAAACAGAGGGUAAUAAAAUACUUUGGCAAUUACUAUUGACAGUUCUGGAUAAUCUUGAAGGCUGCCUUGCCUGAAGAAGAUGAGUGUUACAAAUCACUCCACUGAAAGGGGGAAGAACAGCAGCAGGCAGCAGACAGGUUUCAAUUUCACAAUGCUGAUUAUCUCAUUCGUGAUUCUAUGCAUGCCUAAAUCUAAGGAUCCCUCAAGCAGCUAUAUGGACUUCUACUUUAAAAUGCCUAUUACGCUUUCAUACUUUUUGCUGCUUCCUGAAGAGUGCCAUUUCGCCAAGCUUAAAUAGCAGAAAAUUGUACUGCUUUUCCUCUGCCCAUCUCCUCAAUCUCUAUUAACCUGCACAAGAACAAAGGAAUAUGAUGGUCCGGCUAUAGGUUUGGAAAUAGGUUUGAAGUUGUUUUUCAUUUACUGGUAGCGGUCUUUCUGAUUCAUAAAUGUAGUUUAACAAUAGUGCCAUUUUAAUGCAUUAGGAAAUGAUUGACAAUGCAGAAUUUUUAACCUUAAUGUAUGCACAUAGACAUGAUGUAUACAAAUUCACACACACUUUUCAAAUGCAUAUACAUGUUAUUUACAUAAGCAUCAAAUGAUGGCAGAUCACUCACAGAAUGUGUUAUACCUUAACUAAAGAUGAAAGGAUAAAACUUCUCCAAUUGGAAUUCUUUUUAUUUAGGUUACAUGAGAACAAUAGGAUACAGCCACCAAAAAAAAAAAAAAAAAAAGGAAAAGAAAAUUGUUGAAGCACCUGGUUUUAAUGCAUGCAGUGGGCCUUUAUUAGAUGUCAUAAACUGAAUGAUGCAUUACUCUGUGGACUACUUAUAGCCUAUGAAGAGGUAAAAUGGAGGACAAAGAAUUCUUUUGAAACAAUAAGGCUAAAAGUUCUUUUAAAUCAAGCCAUGUUUUAUGAAGUGCAGAAUACUUAAUCGAUUCAGAGAGAUUUGGGGCAACUUAAAACUUAAAAUUUUGUAUGUAUUUCUAUAUUACCUUUAAGAUUAAAGAGUAUUUUACUUAAACAUAUUAUAUUGCAUAUAAGAACCAUAUACA
Molecule: long non-coding RNA, 1224 nt
Organism: Hemicordylus capensis (graceful crag lizard)
Lineage: Eukaryota; Metazoa; Chordata; Lepidosauria; Squamata; Cordylidae
Exons: 3
Source: RefSeq, a predicted model, not a curated record